RNAcentral lists this ribosomal RNA (464 nucleotides) under Prevotella sp. oral taxon G57. Its description in RNAcentral is "bacterial SSU rRNA". It matches the Rfam family "Bacterial small subunit ribosomal RNA", at positions 28 to 479 of the family's 1533-position model. The record is from RNAcentral. Lineage: Bacteria; Pseudomonadati; Bacteroidota; Bacteroidia; Bacteroidales; Prevotellaceae.
GAUGAACGCUGGCUACAGGCUUAACACAUGCAAGUCGAGGGGAAACGGCAUUGGGCGCUUGCACCGAAUGGACGUCGACCGGCGCACGGGUGAGUAACGCGUAUCCAACCUUCCCGUUACUGCGGGAUAACCUGCCGAAAGGCAGACUAAUACCGCAUGUUCUUCGAUGACGGCAUCAGAUUCGAAGCAAAGAUCCGUCGGUAACGGAGGGGGAUGCGUCUGAUUAGCUUGUUGGCGGGGCGACGGCCCACCAAGGCGACGAUCAGUAGGGGUUCUGAGAGGAAGGUCCCCCACAUUGGAACUGAGACACGGUCCAAACUCCUACGGGAGGCAGCAGUGAGGAAUAUUGGUCAAUGGGCGGAAGCCUGAACCAGCCAAGUAGCGUGCAGGAUGACGGCCCUACGGGUUGUAAACUGCUUUUAUGCGGGGAUAAAGUGAGGGACGCGUCCCUUUUUGCAGGUACC